UCCAAGGUUGUGCCCACUCGGCACGACCCAGGUUCCAUGCUACAGGCCUCUACUUGUCCAGACCUGAGGGUCAGAUUCAGAUGGUGCAAAUGUUUAAGACCUGGGUCUUCAACGAGAUGAAUUAUCAGCUAUUUCAUAGCUGCAGUGUUGGAUAUGCCGAGACGAUAAAAGCAACAGCAAUCAGAAUCAACAGUUGAAACGACAUGGCAGACGCUGUGAAUGCUAUGAACUGCUGUGCUGAGCAGCAGGAUUCCUGUGUCCUGGCGCAAUGCCCAUGGGGAUUCAUGCUUUCAGAGGGUCACGCCUCAGGAACACGUAGAAGGGCAAGCAUUUCAUCUGGCAGGGCACUGAUUUAAUCUGCACGCAUGUUUGGCUGUAAAACUAGCUCCUCCCCCUUACCAUUUUUGAGUCGCUGCCGGACUCAAAUUCCACAGAUUCUGGAAGGUGUCCAGGAACUCGUUGAUUUGUCAAACUUAUGGCUACACACAGCUGGAAUGGAGACGGACUCCACUGAGGAGACUCAUACAGGACAGGAGGGAAUUUUAAGAGGAUAACCCUGAGAUUGAAAACAUCAAACCAAACCUGAAGCACUGAGAGGUUGGGUAACCAGCUCUGGUCACUGAGUUGGUGAGGGAUGGAUUCAGAAGAGGUCUCCAAUUGUGACACCGCAGAGGACCUGCUCUUGGCCACUACACUCUACCAGCUCUGCAAGAAGGUGAGGGAGGGAGGGUGGAGUGUGAUGGGCUCUUACUGUCUCCAUUCGGUUUUGUCUUAGAUAAAGGGAACUGAGUCCUUAGGCCCCUCCAGCAGGAAAGGCUCACAACAGCAGCCCCUCCGGCCCUGGGGUCAGUCUGUAUUCACACCUAAGGGCAAGCUAAGUUGUGAAUUUGACAGAGGACUUGGACAGUGUCUCUAGUUGUCCCGGUUAUAGCUGUGGUUAGUGUCCACCGAUGGAUGAGGAGAUGCUUCCGGCAGAUUGCUCUCUUAGCCACAAUUCCCUCAUUUAUGGCAGCAAAGCAGGCCAACGAUUGCAAAAGACAGAAAUAAAACAGAAAAUCUUGGAAUGAGCAUCAUCCUGUAAAAAGCAUAGAGUGACAUCAAUAACGGGUAGACACCUUCUCC
Molecule: long non-coding RNA, 1122 nt
Filed under: Homo sapiens (human)
Lineage: Eukaryota; Metazoa; Chordata; Mammalia; Primates; Hominidae
Description: non-protein coding lnc-PRPF18-8:2
Source: RNAcentral